AACUUCCGGGCGGGGCAUGACUUCCGGUUCCCGCGCGGCGCUCCAAAGCUUGGGGAGUGGUGGUCUCCCUUUCCUGGAGUCAUUUGUGGGAGUUAGGGUCUUAUCCUGAUCUUUCCUCGUCCCCCGCUCCCCCGUCCUCCGAGGUGGCAGCUGCGUAGAAGUCUGGAACGUUUUUUCUUAGAGUUCCAGAAUUGAGACUGAAGUGUACCCAGAGACACAAAGAAAUACAGAAGUCCAGAAUGAUCAAAUGAGAUCACUACCCAAUGAAAUGAUGGGCCGAGGAGCCAGAAGUUGUCCUACUACCUGCUUUCCAGGUCCAGAUUCCACGAGAGCCUUCUGGGCUCCCACCAGAGACCCUCAGUGAAGACUCUGUUGAAGACUUUAAGACCAUGCUAGAAAGCCUCCCGGCAGAGGUUCAGGAAGUUCUGCUAUGAGGAUGCAGCUGGCCCCAGGGAUGUCCUCAGGCAUCUCUAGGACCUUGCUGGACGGUGGCUGAGACCUGAUAUCCACACAAAGGAGCAGACUGUGGAAAUGCUGGUGCAGGAGCAAUUCCAGGCUGUCCUGCCUGAGGAGCUCAGAGCUCAAGCACAGAGAUGUCAGCCUGGAAUCAGAAUCACUGGCUAAGUCUUGCUGCUUGCUUCUUGCUCAGCCUACAUAUGAGAAGUCAACCAAGCGUUCUCUUGGAUGCAAGAUCCAACUGCACCCAUGAGAAAUCUGAACUUCCACUUUCUUUGAGCUUGUCUUUGGUUGUAAUAAGAAUCCAUCAAAACCCAUGUCUGGAUCUCUCCUUUGGCUGAGGCAGCUUUAUUUCCUACAGAAAGAGUUUCUCUGUCCUCUUGUUAGGACAAUCAGCCUGCUGCUUUGGGCUUUUCCAAGAGCGUAUUUUUCAUCUGCUGGAUGCCUCUUUUUUUUUUUUUUUUGCACUUUGUGACAUGCUUUAAUAUAUAUUUUUUUAUGUAUCCAAAGAGGUAAUCAACUUUAACUUUCAGAAUUCAUGAAUCUUGGUUUGGUGGCAUGAAUGAAAGGUUAUGUAACCCCACCAGUAACUCAUUUGGGGUGCCCUUGAAAUAUUAAAGUUUGGUCCUCAAUAAA
Long non-coding RNA from Pan troglodytes (chimpanzee), 1092 nucleotides. RefSeq lists it as uncharacterized. The transcript has 2 exons. Lineage: Eukaryota; Metazoa; Chordata; Mammalia; Primates; Hominidae. The record is from RefSeq and is a predicted model, not a curated record.